AGUUGAAGGCGAACUGCUCAGUAACACGUAGCUAACCUGCCCUUUGGUCUGGAAUAACCUCGGGAAACUGAGGGUAAUGCCGGAUGGACGAUAUUUUCUGGAAUGAUAUAUCCUCUAAAGGAAACGCCAAAGGAUGGGGCUGCGGUCGAUUAGGUUGUUGGCGGGGUAAAGGCCCACCAAGCCUUUGAUCGGUAAGGGCUCUUAGCGGAGGAGCCCUGAGAGGGAAUCUGAGACACUAUUCCCAGCCCUACGGGGUGCAGCAGUCGGGAAACUUUUACAAUGCGCGCAAGCGUGAUAGAGCAAGCCUAAGUGCGUUUCCUUAUUUUGGAAACGCUUUUGUACGAUGUAAAAAGUCGUACGAAUAAGGACCGGGCAAGACUGGUGCCAGCCGCCGCGGUAAUACCAGCGGUCCGAGUCGCAUCCACGUUUAUUGGGUCUAAAACAUCCGUAGCUUGUCAUGUAAGUCUCUUGUUAAAUCUGGCAUCUUAAGUGUCAGGCAGGCAAGAGAUACUGCAUGGCUUGAGACCGGGAGGCGUAAGAAGUACGGUUAGGGUAGCGGUUAAAUGCGUUGAUCCUUACUGGACUAACAAUCGCGAAGGCAUCUUACGAGAACGGUUCUGACGGUCGGGGAUGAAGGCUAGGGUCGCAAAACGGAUUAGAUACCCGUGUAGUCCUAGCAGUAAACACUGCACACUAAACAUCGGUGCCUCUUCGAGAGGCAUCGGUGCUGUAGGGAAGCCGGAGAGUGUGCUACCUGGGAAGUAUAGCCGCAAGGCCGAAACUUAAAGGAAUAGCCGGGGGGGUACUACAACCAGUGACGCGUGCGGUUCAAUUAGAUUCUACACCGUGAACCUCACCAGGAUCGACAGCAGAAUGAAGGUCAGUCUGAAGGGCUUACCUGACACGCUGAGAGGAGAUGCAUGGCCGACGUCAGCCUGUGUCGUGAGAUGACCUGUUAAAUCAGGUAACAGGCGAGACCC
RNAcentral lists this ribosomal RNA (980 nucleotides) under uncultured euryarchaeote. RNAcentral describes it as "partial 16S ribosomal RNA". It matches the Rfam family "Archaeal small subunit ribosomal RNA", at positions 73 to 1053 of the family's 1478-position model. The record is from RNAcentral. Lineage: Archaea; Methanobacteriati; Methanobacteriota.